CGACAGCUAUCUGCAGGACUUUGAGCGUCAGUGUGCUUUGGAGGGGCUAGAAAAGACUAAUUGGGCUGCAGUUCUUCGCAGCAAACUCUCAGGACGGGCAGCCGAGGCUUAUAGAGCGGUAUCUGAUGAGGAGAUACAGAACUAUGAAAAGGUAAAGGAGAUAUUGUUGCACAGAUAUGCGGUCACACCAGAGGCGUACAGGAGAAAAUUUUGGGGCCUCAGAAAAGGAGGAAGAGACUCCUAUUCCGAAUGGGCAUUCCGCCUAUACCGGGCUGCACGGAUGCAGGGCAACUAUUGCAGCUAUUCAUAGCAGUGCUUUGAUCACACUCACACUCCAACUGGGUGAGGGGCCAUAAACCAAAGACAGUGGAGGAAGCAGCUAAAUUGGG
Non-coding RNA from Pelobates cultripes (western spadefoot toad), 389 nucleotides. Lineage: Eukaryota; Metazoa; Chordata; Amphibia; Anura; Pelobatidae. The record is from the annotation of a GenBank genome assembly.